GGUUGAUAACACAGGACAUGAGUUUCCACCUGUUAGGUGAUGGCCUCGGCCUGCUGCAGACACUAACACUAGUCCCACUGCUUGGCUUCUGGAGUAGUUGAAAAAUUCAUUAUGGUCUUGAUGAAAAGCCACUGGAAAAUUCAAGCAAGCAGUCAGGGUGGAAGUAAUUUCUUAGACUUUUUUUUUCUUCUUCAUUUAUCAGUCAUAUAAUUGGAUCUGAAAAUGUGUUGAAGGAUGUUUUUAUGAACAUAAAGCACUGGGAAGUCUGGCAUUAUUCCAGUUAAUGGACUCCAUGAUUAUGUAGUUGCUCAGUUCAGGCUGUUGCCAAGAUUAACAACAGCAACAAAAUGUGCAGUACUGGAGCACAAGCAGAAUUAUUACUGUUUCCCAUCAAUGUUGUUACUUGUAAAAGUGAUAAACAUAGCAGCAACUUGUCAGCCUGGGAAUUCAGCAGGAGGUGGGGGUGUCUGGUCAAAGGGACUGUCUGUACCGUAACCCAGCAGACAAAGUGUAUUUCCGUGGCAGUGUACCUACCAGAAAAGUGUUUGAGAAUGUUAAUGACUUUUAGUUGGUUUAAUUGCAUGUGAUGUACUUUCUGGUCAGUGUGCAAGACGAGGCUUUUUUCUACUUUUACACACACUUCCGUUUAUAAACGGAUGUAGUGGCAGCCUAGGUGGUCUGGUGUUGUGUUUGGAAGGCAUUGGUACUUCUAUCUUCCUAGGAAGUAGAAAAGGUCAAGCAGUUAAUGAACUUAUUUUAAGGAAUAUCAAGUCCUGCUCCGGCCAGAUAUUCAGCUCUGACAACAUUGGGUUGCUGAGCCAAGGGCCUAUUUUGUUGUCAUACACCUCCUGCUGAGAAACCCAUUUUCUAGACAAUAGUGAGCACUCAAGUGCAGAAAGGCGAUGGAGGAAGGCUCCCACUUGAAGAAGUCUAUUGCUGGAGCAGUGUUAAAUAGCAGCAUGUAGCAAGUAAGUUCUGCUACAUUACCAGCAUUCUGUGGUAUCUGUUCAUACUGCAGCAAGAAAUUUUCAGGGAAACAGGAGUGCUGUAAUCUGGUUUUAUAGCUGUUAACUGUACCUGCUGCAAACACACUUAAAACCAAGCAUACCUUUCCGUUCUGUCAAUGCAUGCCAGUUUGACCAAAGGAGGCUUUUCUUUGUAAAAGUAAAUUGCAUAACAAAGAUUUAGCUGUAAUUUGUAGAUCUCAACCCUCUGAGAGACCAGUCAUAGAAUAAAUUUUCUAAUGUUUCUAGCGUCAGUGGAAGAUUUAACCAGACUCUUCAGAGAAGGUACCAGGGAAGUAAUGCGAAGGCACCUGUGGUUCACCCAGAAAGCAACACCUGGUUGCUCUCCAUUUCAACAACACAAAACACUUCCUGGCAGUGAUGGUCUUGAGUGUGUUCAGCACAGUAUUGCCUACUAGAUAAUGGCAUCUCAAAUGUUGAGUAAAGCAUGCAUAUAGCUUCAGUGAGGAUUCAACCUUUCUUGUUAAAUCAGGACUAUAUUUGUAGCUUGGGCACCUUGAAAGUAAUGAUGUUUUUCAGAGUAUAAGAAGUGCUAUGAAAGAUCAUGAAUAAAGGUCCAUUUGGCUCUGUA
Pezoporus occidentalis (night parrot) is the source of this 1596-nucleotide long non-coding RNA. RefSeq lists it as uncharacterized. The transcript has 2 exons. NCBI's taxonomy places the organism in Eukaryota, Metazoa, Chordata, Aves, Psittaciformes, Psittacidae. The record is from RefSeq and is a predicted model, not a curated record.